UUGCUCGGAAUCACUGGGCGUAAAGCGCACGUAGGCGGAUUGCUAAGUCAGGGGUGAAAUCCUGGAGCUCAACUCCAGAACUGCCCUUGAUACUGGCGGUCUCGAGUCCGGGAGAGGUGAGUGGAACUGCGAGUGUAGAGGUGAAAUUCGUAGAUAUUCGCAAGAACACCAGUGGCGAAGGCGGCUCACUGGCCCGAUACUGACGCUGAGGUGCGAAAGCGUGGGGAGCAAACAGG
This 236-nucleotide ribosomal RNA is filed under the name uncultured bacterium. Its description in RNAcentral is "partial 16S ribosomal RNA". It matches the Rfam family "Bacterial small subunit ribosomal RNA", at positions 541 to 776 of the family's 1533-position model. The record is from RNAcentral.